GACGAACGCUGGCGGCGUGCUUAACACAUGCAAGUCGAGCGGUAAGGCCCUUUCGGGGUACGACGAGCGGCGAACGGGUGAGUAACACGUGGGUGACCUCGCCCUCCAGCUCUGGGAGUAAGCCUGGGAAACGUGGGUCGUAAUACUGGAUAUGACUCCACGGUGCAUGUCGUGGGGUGGAAAGCCUUGUGCGGCUGAGGAUGGGCCCGCGGCCUAUCAGCUUGUUGGUGGGGU
RNAcentral lists this ribosomal RNA (234 nucleotides) under uncultured bacterium. RNAcentral's name for it is "partial 16S ribosomal RNA". It matches the Rfam family "Bacterial small subunit ribosomal RNA", at positions 28 to 258 of the family's 1533-position model. The record is from RNAcentral.